This 230-nucleotide ribosomal RNA is filed under the name uncultured bacterium. RNAcentral's name for it is "partial 16S ribosomal RNA". It matches the Rfam family "Bacterial small subunit ribosomal RNA", at positions 333 to 555 of the family's 1533-position model. The record is from RNAcentral.
GUGGGCCUACGGGGCGCAGCAGUAGGGAAUCUUCCACAAUGGACGAAAGUCUGAUGGAGCAACGCCGCGUGAGUGAAGAAGGGUUUCGGCUCGUAAAGCUCUGUUGGUAGUGAAGAAAGAUAGAGGUAGUAACUGGCCUUUAUUUUACGGUAAUUACUUAGAAAGUCACGGCUAACUACGUGCCAGCAGCCCCGGUAAUACGUCGGUGGCAAGCGUUAUCCGGAUUUAUU